Fukomys damarensis (Damara mole-rat) is the source of this 362-nucleotide long non-coding RNA. RefSeq lists it as uncharacterized. The transcript has 3 exons. The record is from RefSeq and is a predicted model, not a curated record. NCBI's taxonomy places the organism in Eukaryota, Metazoa, Chordata, Mammalia, Rodentia, Bathyergidae.
CCCGCAGCUCCUGAGGUGCCCAGUAAAAGAGCCCAGCGUUGACAUGUGGAUAUUUGAAAGAAACCAGUGGGCAAGAGAGAGAAGAAUCUGAGGAUGAGUAGGGAAACGGGCAGAAGCUGAGAACAAUGCAGUGAGCUGUUCUGUGCUGAGCCCUGGCAGUGAGUGGUCCCCAAGCCAGGCACCGACUCUACCUUGGAAGACAUUUCCAUGCCCUGAGGGCACUGGUGCAGAAAGGAUGGCAGAGACUAGGACCAGGAAGAAGCGAAGCAGAGCCCCGGGGCAAAGGAGAAACAGCCUCGGCCACUGCAGAACAAGACGCCAGUGGGACCAAGCACCGUCCACGUUUUAAGCCACGUCAGCCC